CUGAAGAAUCAAUUCAGUACGAUGCUCAUAGGAAUUUACUAUAAUGCUUAUCGGAAUUCACUACAAUGUUCACCAAUCCACACGAAACAACACAAAUCCCUUCCGCUAAAUUUGAUUUAAUCAAUUGUUUUUAUAAACCCUAAACCAUGUAUCCGCAUCACAUCUUUGGAGGUCGUAAUCAUCAGUUCUAAAUCGCUCGCGAAAAUUGGGACGGGAACGUAGUAAAGCAC
RNAcentral lists this long non-coding RNA (230 nucleotides) under Lathyrus oleraceus (garden pea). RNAcentral's name for it is "Pisum sativum (pea) long non-coding RNA (PSAT_LNC034730)". The record is from RNAcentral. Lineage: Eukaryota; Viridiplantae; Streptophyta; Magnoliopsida; Fabales; Fabaceae.